CUCUGUGCCUGGUAUGGGACAUCUUGCUGCAAUCCUCCUGCUUUGGAUGUGCCAGUUAUGUAAACAGAGAGUGGGGAUAGGUGUAGCUUCCUCUGGACUGAAAGUGGUGCUGGCAGCAGAGAAAGACUUGGGCUGAAGUAAUUUCCUUUCAUUAGAAUAAAAAUCUGAAAAUAAAAGUCUGAACUGCAUCUAGAGUAUUUCUCCUGACUGCUGAGAAGAAAAGUUUCCAAGGGCUCAAGGUUUUUUUCAGCAGCACCCAGAAGUCUGGCACCUUACCCUAGCCUUAGUUUUGUGGUUUCCUUCCUCUGGUCCCCUUGGUUAUCUGCAUUGGCACAGAGCCCGGGUUCUGCUUCCCUUCCUCCCUGCACACCUUCGUGUCCCCAGCCACUGGAUCCUGCAAAGGCAAGUCUUAAUUCUUCACACUUCAUUUUUUGUCAUUUGCAGCUUCUCAGGGGCGCCCUUUGCAGGCUGCUGUGCUCAGCCCUCGCUGCUUUGCCUUCAGCUUGGCCUGUGGUUUUUGGUUUCCUCCCUUUUUUUUGUUGUUUUUUGCUUUUAUGGCUACUCUCAAGUGCUCGAAGAGCUGCUGACAGCCCAUGGAAAACUCAGCAAACAUUCCAUACAGACCACUUGCUUUACCAUCCUUUCCUGUGCCACGUUCAUUUUUACUGGGGAUGGCUGAGAAAGCAGGACUUUUGGGCUUUGACUGAUCUGCUUGUGCUGCUUUCAGACAACAUGCAGGUCUGGACCUACCUGCUCUUGCUGGGGCAGCAUUUCUGCUGCAUCUCACCCAGCCUUUUAGUUGGAUGACUGCUUCCAUUGGUUCCUCACCAAGAACUUGCUAUUCAAUCAGCUGUACAAGCCAAGCCCAACUGCUUCCAGCUUUCCCUGGUUCUCUUUCUCACCCCAGCUUAUCUAGACAGCUAAUCCCUGUCUUUAAAUUCAGCUGCUUCGUUUUUAUGGUUCCCACUGGCUAUUUGUUCCUUUUAUCCCUUGUUUUGAGAGGUCUGGCAGCAAAGCCUCAGAUGUUUCAUCACUCAGAUGAUUGAGGAUUUUGCCUGAUAGGUAAACAGUGAUUUUGUAGGGAGG
This 1086-nucleotide long non-coding RNA is filed under the name Parus major (Great Tit). RNAcentral describes it as "lncRNA (ENSPMJG00000000721.1)". Lineage: Eukaryota; Metazoa; Chordata; Aves; Passeriformes; Paridae. The record is from RNAcentral.